Molecule: ribosomal RNA, 497 nt
Filed under: uncultured bacterium
Lineage: Bacteria
Description: partial 16S ribosomal RNA
Rfam family: Bacterial small subunit ribosomal RNA
Source: RNAcentral
GAUGAACGCUGGCGGCGUGCCUAAUACAUGCAAGUCGAGCGAACGGACGAGAAGCUUGCUUCUCUGAUGUUAGCGGCGGACGGGUGAGUAACACGUGGAUAACCUACCUAUAAGACUGGGAUAACUUCGGGAAACCGGAGCUAAUACCGGAUAAUAUUUUGAACCGCAUGGUUCAAAAGUGAAAGACGGUCUUGCUGUCACUUAUAGAUGGAUCCGCGCUGCAUUAGCUAGUUGGUAAGGUAACGGCUUACCAAGGCAACGAUGCAUAGCCGACCUGAGAGGGUGAUCGGCCACCCUGGAACUGAGACACGGUCCAGACUCCUACGGGAGGCAGCAGUAGGGAAUCUUCCGCAAUGGGCGAAAGCCUGACGGAGCAACGCCGCGUGAGUGAUGAAGGUCUUCGGAUCGUAAAACUCUGUUAUUAGGGAAGAACAUAUGUGUAAGUAACUGUGCACAUCUUGACGGUAACUAAUCAGAAAGCCACGGCUAACUACGUG